RNAcentral lists this ribosomal RNA (355 nucleotides) under uncultured bacterium. RNAcentral's name for it is "bacterial SSU rRNA". It matches the Rfam family "Bacterial small subunit ribosomal RNA", at positions 8 to 349 of the family's 1533-position model. The record is from RNAcentral.
AGAGUUUGAUCCUGGCUCAGGAUGAACGCUGGCGGCGUGCCUAACACAUGCAAGUCGAACGAGGCAAAUAAGUUGAAGUUUUCGGAUGGAUUCUUAUUUACCGAGUGGCGGACGGGUGAGUAACGCGUGGGUAACCUGCCUCAUACAGGGGGAUAACGGUUAGAAUGACUGCUAAUACCGCAUAAGCGCACAGUACCGCAUGGUACGGUGUGAAAAACUCCGGUGGUAUGAGAUGGACCCGCGUCUGAUUAGCUAGUUGGUGGGGUAACGCCACAAGGCGACGAUCAGUAGCCGACCUGAGAGGGUGACCGGCCACAUUGGGACUGAGACACGGCCCAGACCUCCUACGGGAGCA